RNAcentral lists this ribosomal RNA (381 nucleotides) under uncultured organism. RNAcentral describes it as "bacterial SSU rRNA". It matches the Rfam family "Bacterial small subunit ribosomal RNA", at positions 367 to 762 of the family's 1533-position model. The record is from RNAcentral.
CGCAAUGGGCGAAAGCCUGACGGAGCAAUACCGCGUGAGGGAUGACGGCCUAUGGGUUGUAAACCUUUUUUUUCAGGGAGGAAUCAAUGACGUGUACCUGAAGAAUAAGCAUCGGCUAACUCCGUGCCAGCAGCCGCGGUAAGACGGAGGAUGCAAGUGUUAUCCGGAAUCACUGGGGGUAAAGCGUCUGUAGGUGGUCCAAUAAGUCAACUGUUAAAUCUUGAGGCUUAACCUCAAAAUCGCCGUUGAAACUGUUAGUCUAGAGUAUUGUAGGGGUAAAGGGAAUUUCCAGUGGAGCGGUGAAAUGCCUAGAUAUUGGAAGGAACACCGAUGGCGAAGGCACUUUACUGGGCUCUUUCUAACACUCCGGGACGAAAGCUA